GUCGCAUUGAGGGGUAAACGUGAAAUAGAAAUCAAACUAAAAAGCACAUAAACCCGUCACUAACAAAAAUAUGUGUCUAGAAGUUACGUCUUUAAUGAUAGAUAAGAACAACAUGCACACAAAACUCAUCAAAGAUAUCAGACUUCUACUGUGGUAAGUUAAACGAGCUUUCCGUCUACACAUGACUCGUAUGUGGCGCUCGAAUCAAAGUAGUUAAAAUGUCAAAUCAAAUAUAACGUUAAAGAGCAUUAAAACAGAAAAUUCCAAUAAUUCCAAAUACGCCUAAGUUUAAUCAAAUCAGCAAACGUUGAAGAGAUAAACAAUAUACAAGUUUUGAGACAACCAAGACAAUGAAC
This 356-nucleotide long non-coding RNA is filed under the name Mytilus galloprovincialis (Mediterranean mussel). Lineage: Eukaryota; Metazoa; Mollusca; Bivalvia; Mytilida; Mytilidae. The record is from RNAcentral.